Molecule: ribosomal RNA, 134 nt
Filed under: uncultured Alphaproteobacteria bacterium
Lineage: Bacteria; Pseudomonadati; Pseudomonadota; Alphaproteobacteria
Description: partial 16S ribosomal RNA
Rfam family: Bacterial small subunit ribosomal RNA
Source: RNAcentral
UGGGGAAUCUGGACAAUGGGGGCAACCCUGAUCCAGCCAUGCCGCGUGAGUGAUGAAGGCCCUAGGGUCGUAAAGCUCUUUCGCCAGGGAUGAUAAUGACAGUACCUGGUAAAGAAACCUCGGCUAACUCCGUG